GACGUAGGGCGCAAGCGUUGUCCGGAUUUAUUGGGCGUAAAGAGCUCGUAGGCGGCCUGUCGCGUCGACCGUGAAAACCCGCAGCUCAACUGCGGGCUUGCGGUCGAUACGGGCAGGCUGGAGUUCGGUAGGGGAGACUGGAAUUCCUGGUGUAGCGGUGGAAUGCGUAGAUAUCGGGAAGAACACCAGUGGCGAAGGCGGUUGCCUGGAGCUUUGCUGACGCUGAGGCGCGAAAGCGUGGGGAGCGAUCCGG
Molecule: ribosomal RNA, 253 nt
Filed under: uncultured bacterium
Lineage: Bacteria
Description: partial 16S ribosomal RNA
Rfam family: Bacterial small subunit ribosomal RNA
Source: RNAcentral